RNAcentral lists this unclassified non-coding RNA (1071 nucleotides) under leaf metagenome. RNAcentral's name for it is "partial contains internal transcribed spacer 1, 5.8S ribosomal RNA, internal transcribed spacer 2, and large subunit ribosomal RNA". The stretch from base 486 to 1071 matches the Rfam family "Eukaryotic large subunit ribosomal RNA", at positions 1 to 591 of the family's 3401-position model. The record is from RNAcentral.
GAUCAUUACCCUUCUAUCCGGAGAACGUGGCCCUCGGGCUACGCUUCUCUUUGGAUUCUACCCAUGUCUUUUGCGUACUCUUUGUUUCCUCGGUGGGCUUGCCUGCCGAUAGGACAACCAAUAAACUCUUUGUAAUUGCAAUCAGCGUCAGUAACAAUAUAAUUAUUACAACUUUCAACAACGGAUCUCUUGGUUCUGGCAUCGAUGAAGAACGCAGCGAAAUGCGAUAAGUAGUGUGAAUUGCAGAAUUCAGUGAAUCAUCGAAUCUUUGAACGCACAUUGCGCCCCUUGGUAUUCCAUGGGGCAUGCCUGUUCGAGCGUCAUUUGUACCCUCAAGCUCUGCUUGGUGUUGGGUGUUUGUCCCGCAUUUUCCGCGUGGACUCGCCUUAAAGCAAUUGGCAGCCGGCACGUUGGCCUAGAGCGCAGCACAUUUUGCGCCUCUUGUCAUACUUGUUGGCAUCCAUCAAGACCAUAUUUUUUGCUCUUGACCUCGGAUCAGGUAGGGAUACCCGCUGAACUUAAGCAUAUCAAUAAGCGGAGGAAAAGAAACCAACAGGGAUUGCCCUAGUAACGGCGAGUGAAGCGGCAACAGCUCAAAUUUGAAAUCUGGCUCUUUCAGGGUCCGAGUUGUAAUUUGCAGAGGGCGCUUUGGCGUUGGCAGCGGUCCAAGUUCCUUGGAACAGGACGUCACAGAGGGUGAGAAUCCCGUACGUGGUCGCUGGCCUUCGCCGUGUAAAGCCCCUUCGACGAGUCGAGUUGUUUGGGAAUGCAGCUCUAAAUGGGAGGUAAAUUUCUUCUAAAGCUAAAUACUGGCCAGAGACCGAUAGCGCACAAGUAGAGUGAUCGAAAGAUGAAAAGCACUUUGGAAAGAGAGUCAAAUAGCACGUGAAAUUGUUGAAAGGGAAGCGCUUGCAGCCAGACUUGCCUGUAGUUGCUCAUCCGGGCUUUUGCCCGGUGCACUCUUCUGCGGGCAGGCCAGCAUCAGUUUGGGCGGUUAGAUAAAGGUCUCUGUCAUGUACCUCUCUUCGGGGAGGCCUUAUAGGGGAGACGACAUGUAACCAGCCUGGACUG